This is a non-coding RNA of Macaca mulatta (Rhesus monkey), 2339 nucleotides long. The record is from RefSeq and is a predicted model, not a curated record. NCBI's taxonomy places the organism in Eukaryota, Metazoa, Chordata, Mammalia, Primates, Cercopithecidae.
CUUGAGCCACCGCGCCCGGCCUAUGGUGAGUAUUUUCAUUCAAUCUGCAGGUGAUUCUUAAACCUGAUUUGUACCAUACUCUUUGCUGAGCACCAAGGAGGUUAAACUAAAUAAGUAAAGAAAUAGUCCCUGCUCUCAAGGAGCCUGUAGAGGAGUUGUAGUCUUUCCUCCUCCCACCCGCAUGCCCUCCAAAAAAAAAAAAAAAAAGGAAAAGAAAAAAACAUCCUGAAACACUCAGAGGAUCACAAGGUGCUGAAAAAUGCCCAGGUAAAAUUAUUACUGGAGACACUUGACCUGGAAAAAAGAAAUCAGCUGAAGAGGCUAAGGUGGCAGUAUUCGGAGGCUGACAUUCAAAGAAUGAGACUUAUUUUGUAUAGCCUUAGAAAGCAGAAUCUACCUCUCUGACCUUAUCACUAAGGUAAACUUGCCAUUCCAGCUAACACUUUUCUUUAUUGUGCUAAAAUAUACGUGACAUUUAUCAUUUUAACCAUUUUUAGGUAUAUAGCUCUGUGACAUUAAGUAUAUUUACAUCGUUUUGCAGCUGUCACCGCCAUCCAUCUCCAGAACUUUUCAUUGUCCCAGACUGAAACUCUGUGCCCAUUAAACACUCACUUCUCAUUCCUCUCUCCUUCCACUCCCGGCAACCACCAUUCUACUUUCGCUCUGUGAAUUUGACUACUGAAGGUACCUAGAGUGUAAGCAGAAAACCAAGCAGACCUUAACAUGUGAACAGAAAGAAGGAGCCUUCUCUAAUUUUCCUAUUUCUGAAGAGACUAUAAAGCUUCUGAAAGCAUUUGGCCAUCCAGUGUCAUUGGUCUCAGAGGCCGGCAGUUAUUGGAGAUGUCCUUCAAGUCUACAGUGGGUCUGAAGGGAGGGCUAUUAUUUUCUGUGAGACCAAAAAGAAUGUAACUGAAAUGGCCAUGAAUCCACACGUAAAACAGUUUUCCAGGAGGACCUCUCAGCCCAGCGCCUCGCCCCCGUGAAGUCAGCCCUGACUGCAGCCUGCGAAGCACCCGCCGGUUGUCCCAGGGGAGGGCGCUUCAGACGAAAACGCAGAGCCCCCCAGGAGGCGCGGGAAGCAGGAGGAGGGCGAGGGGGCCCAGGAAGGCAAUGGCGGUGAGGCGGAACGAGGAGGGGCGAGUGAGGACGGGGGGCGCAGGUGGGCGAGCGCCGGGCUGUCUGCAGCCAGAGUGUCGCCCCUCCUGAAGGCCCUGGGCAGGUGAAAUGAGGACCAGCGCUGACAAAGGGUAGGAUGCAGAAGACUCCUCAGGAGUGACCUUGGAGCUGAGAUCACCCUCGGGAAGCUCGGAUUCUCAUCCGUGUCCACAGACACGGCGGCCUCAGACUUGGAGUCCGGGGAAAAGGCAGCGGCUGUGAGCAUCACAGUGAGAAAACCAGGCUCCUGCGACCCCCAGGCCUUAAGCCCCGACCCCAGGGCAUUUGGGAGCAGGUCUGCGUCAGGGCCCAGCACACUCUGUAAGGGAGCUCUGCCUUUCUGGGGUCCUCCAGCUGAAGAAGGAUGUGAUUUGCACGAAACCCACCCUGUAGACCUCGAAAUCAGCAGGAAGCCCCAGGAACUUGGGUGGGGGGGACUUUGAUGUGGCUCCCGCGCACCCACCGGGCACCGCGUGAAUUGCCAGGCGCACGACAAUUGAGUGGACGCUGGGUUCGCUGAGCCCCCCAGAGGCUCCUCGCCAUGGGUCACCUGUGCCACCUUGGACCACCCAGAGAAACCCUUUCCCCCGCCAGGUGAGCCGCAGGCCAGGCUCCAGGCCUGAGUGUGCCCCUGGCGGGGAUUUCUCUGUGAACAGCCCAUCAUGCUGUAGUAUCAAUGUUAUCUCAGCUGCAUGUUCUGAAGAAACACGAAUUUCAUGCACAAGCGUGAAUUUUCCGUGUUUUAAAUUGUAAAUGGGACUCCAAGGAAGUUGAAACUUGAAGCAGCCUGGAAGCAAACUUAAUUGCGCCAUCCCCCACCAUCCUCCAGGGUAAACUGAGGAGCAUAGUUAAUUGGUUUUGUCAGAUGGGCUUGUCAGAUGGGCUGUUCUGGAUGUAACCACCUAAUUCCUGGAUCCCAUUGAGAGUCAGCUUCCUUUAUGGGCAUCUGACAAGAUGUGCUCAGAGUCAAACACCUUGAGGAUCUUUAUGGAAACAACUUUUGGCUUUUUAUUAAGAUGUCAUUCAGGGCUCUGAACAAUCGAAGACAUUGAAUUGAGCUGUUACGUGGAUGGGUUUGAUGUAGUUAUACAGUGUGCAAUUGGUACUUGUCAAUAGCAUAAUGAUAUUGCAAAAAUAAAGAAAACCGUCUUUAAAAAAGAAAAACAGCCGGGCACAAUGGCUCA